GGGGGUCUGUGGCUCAGUGGCAGAGCCUCUGCUUUGCAUGCAAAGGUCGCGGGUUCAAACCCCGGCAUCUCCG
Molecule: transfer RNA, 73 nt
Filed under: Sphaerodactylus townsendi
Lineage: Eukaryota; Metazoa; Chordata; Lepidosauria; Squamata; Sphaerodactylidae
Description: tRNA-Ala
Rfam family: tRNA
About the family: Transfer RNA (tRNA) molecules are approximately 80 nucleotides in length. Their secondary structure includes four short double-helical elements and three loops (D, anti-codon, and T loops).
Source: RNAcentral